RNAcentral lists this ribosomal RNA (497 nucleotides) under uncultured bacterium. RNAcentral's name for it is "partial 16S ribosomal RNA". It matches the Rfam family "Bacterial small subunit ribosomal RNA", at positions 28 to 507 of the family's 1533-position model. The record is from RNAcentral.
GAUGAACGCUGGCGGCGUGCCUAACACAUGCAAGUCGAGCGGAAAGACGAGGAGUUUGUUCGCUUGACGUUAGCGGAGGGCGGGUGUGUCACGUGUGGAUCCCCUACUUAUAUGUCUGGGAUAAUCACGGGACAGAGGAUACAAUACUGGAGCAUAUAUUGAACCGUUGGGUGCAAUGGAGAAUGUCGGCUUUGGUGUCUGUAAUAGCUGGUUCCAGGCUGGAUUAGCUAGUUGGUAAGGUAACGGCCUAUCAAGGCGACGAUGCGUAGCCGAGCUGAGAGGAUGAUCGGCCACACUGGAACUGAGACACGGACCAGACUCCUACGGGAGGCAGCAGUAGGGAAUCUUACGCAAUAGGCGAGAGCCUGACACAGCGACGCCGCGUGUGUGAUGAAGGUCUUCGGAUCGUAAAGCCCUGUUAUUGGGUAAGAACAGCUGUAGAAUGAAACGAAGCCGUCGUGACGGUACCUAAUCAAGAAGCACCGGCUAACUACGUG